UGAGGAAUAUUGGGUCAAUGGGGCGCAGGCCUGAACCAGCCAAGUCGCGUGAGGGAUGACGGUCCUACGGAUUGUAAACCUCUUUUAUGAGGGACGAAGGACGUGACGGUACCUCAUGAAUAAGCCACGGCUAACUACGUGCCAGCAGCCGCGGUAAUACGUAGGUGGCAAGCGUUAUCCGGAUUUACUGGGUGUAAAGGGCGCGUAGGCGGGGAUGCAAGUCAGAUGUGAAAUCUAUGGGCUUAACUCAUAAACUGCAUUUGAAACUGUAUCUCCUGAGUGCUGGAGAGGUAGAUGGAAUUCCUUGUGUAGCGGUGAAAUGCGUAGAUAUAAGGAAGAACACCAGUGGCGAAGGCGAUCUACUGGACAGUAACUGACGCUGAGGCGCGAAAGCGUGGGGAGC
RNAcentral lists this ribosomal RNA (403 nucleotides) under uncultured Oscillospiraceae bacterium. RNAcentral describes it as "bacterial SSU rRNA". It matches the Rfam family "Bacterial small subunit ribosomal RNA", at positions 355 to 769 of the family's 1533-position model. The record is from RNAcentral. Lineage: Bacteria; Bacillati; Bacillota; Clostridia; Eubacteriales; Oscillospiraceae.